Molecule: transfer RNA, 62 nt
Filed under: Thampoa tiani
Lineage: Eukaryota; Metazoa; Arthropoda; Insecta; Hemiptera; Cicadellidae
Description: tRNA-Gly
Source: RNAcentral
AUUUAUUUAAUAUAAUGAGUAUAUUAAGCUUCCAACUUAAAAGUUUUUACAAAAAAUAAAUA